GACGAACCGAGCGAACGUUAUUCGGAAUCACUGGGCUUAAAGGGCGCGUAGGCGGGCGAUCAAGUCGGGGGUGAAAGCCCCCAGCUCAACUGGGGAAGUGCCUCUGAUACUGGUCGCCUCGAGGGAGGUAGGGGCGUGCGGAACUUCCGGUGGAGCGGUGAAAUGCGUAGAUAUCGGGAGGAACACCAAUGGCGAAGGCAGCUCGCUGGGACGGUACUGACGCUGAGGCGCGAAAGCGUGGGGAGCAAACAGG
RNAcentral lists this ribosomal RNA (253 nucleotides) under uncultured bacterium. Its description in RNAcentral is "partial 16S ribosomal RNA". It matches the Rfam family "Bacterial small subunit ribosomal RNA", at positions 524 to 776 of the family's 1533-position model. The record is from RNAcentral.